UCAGUCCCUGGUCAGGGAACUAAGAUCCCACAAGCCAUGCAGUGCAGCCAAAAGAAAAAAAAAAAAGGGACCAUAGAAAUUUCAUUCUGAAAUUUUUCAUAUAUGAAAUUUCAUAAUGCAGAAUAUACAGCUAUUAAAAGGCAAAAGGCUUGGAACAGUUCUUGUAGAUAUUCUUCUUACUGACUUCUGCUAAAGAAAGAUGACUUCCUUAACUUAAUUAAUGCCUGUAAGCGUGAGGGUGAUGAUUAUAUAUGGUAUUGUUAGUUAUCCUGUUCUUUUUCUUCUCUCUUUCUCACUCUCUCUUUUUAAAGAUUUUUCUAUUUUUCGUAUCCUCUCCUGAUUUUUCCACCUGUCUUUCAGUUGUUCUGUAUCUACAUUGAAAAUAUAUAGAGACAUUGCGUACUAUACUAUCUCCUUUAUAAUCAUAAUUUAGCCUUAGGUCUUAAUCAUAAUUUAAUGUUCAGUCCUUAUGUUGGAUAUCUCCCACAUCAUUUUGUGUGAUGAGAGCUUAAAGUAGGUUCUUUAGAAGACUCUGUAAGAAGGGCUCAUGGGAGCAAUAUUUCCUAAGUAUAUUCAUAACAGUUUAUCUGUAGCCUUGUUAUACUAGUGAACAAGUUUAGCUGGCUAUAGAAUCCUUGAUAUGGGAAUUUUCUUAUUUUUUUCUUGAAUGCCUCAAUUUUUCUCUUCUUGAAUACUUAAAAUAUAUUAUUUCUUUGUCUUGUGGCAUAAGUAUAGCUGUUGGAAAGUCUAAUUGCAAUCUUAUUAUUUUUCCUUAUAAAUGACUUCAUCUUUUUUGUGUGGUAGUCCAAAGAAUUUUUAUCUUUUCAUUUAAAAUAUAAUAUCUUUUACUAGAAUAAUCUCAGGGUUGGCUAUUCUAAGUUGAUUGCCCUAAGUUCGGGAAAUUUGAUUUAAAUAUGUAGAUUUAUAUCAUCUUUUAUUUCGUGAACAUUUCUUUAAAUUUAUUUAUUUAUUUAUUUAUUUAUGGCUGCGCUGGGUCUUAGUUGUGGCAUGCGGAAUCUUUGUUGUGGCAUGCAGCAUUUUCUUAAAUUACAGUUUUUAGUGUUGUUCUGCCCCAUUGCUUUGCUUUUCUUCUUCAGAGACUCCUAUUAUGUAGAAGUCCCCCUCCCCUUGUUCUAUCACUUUCUCUCAAAUCUCUUUAAAAACAUAUUUUUAUUUUUUACCUAAAAUAUUUUUUCCAUUUUCCAUUUCUCUUCAGGCAUUAUUCAUUGUGUUCAUUUACUCUUUAGUUUCUUCUAGUUUAGUGUUAAUUUCUUAAUUUAAACUUGUUUGAUUCUUUCCUGAGUCCUUUAUCCUCUCUUUCAAACCUCCAUUUCCUCCAUUCAUAUUAGAGUUUUUCAAUUCUGAUUUGUUUCUUCUUUUAUAGUUCCUAUUAUUUAAAAACAUUUCUUUUCACUUGUUUUGAAAUUUUAAGUUCCAGUUUUCAGCUUUUUGUAGGGAUGUCUGACAUGUUUUCAUUAUCUCUAGGGAUAUCUUCUACAUUAUUUAAAUUCUCUUUCCUUUUGUUUCCCAUCAUAAUUCAAUCUCAAUUUAUUUCUGUUGCUCAUUUUAAAGUGAAAGUAGAUUUCUUUAGCAAAGAGGUAAAAACACAUGGCCCCAUAUGCUUAAGAUUUGCUUCCUGUGUUCCCUUCCUCCAUUUGUGUCUUGAACUUCUCUUUCCUUUGCCCCAUUUCUCUGUCCUCCUUAAUUUGAUCCUAUUUCCAGAAGUUUCUCCUCAAUACAGGGAUUUGACUUGAAAGAGAGUUUUGUUCACAGGGGCCAGACUGCUUCAGCACCGACACUCAGACCUAUCGCCAUCCCAUUGCUCUCACCUACAGACUAGAUCCUGCAGGACUGCCACCUGGUUUCAGCUGAGUUCAGAUUAGCUUUCUGUACUUUCUAACGAGUCCUUGAUGGUAGUUUUGCGGUUCUCCUGAUGCUGUCCCCACUAGCCUCUAUUCUGUGGUUUGAGGGAAUAUGUAGUCAUCUAGUUUUCUUGUGUAUAUUCUUGGUAUGUGAAUAUAUCUUCUCAAGUAGAUUUCUCGAUUUCUCUACAGAAAACAAUUUUUAGAAAUGAUACCCACCAUUUAUUGAGUACUUACUACAUUCCAGCCCACAGGAAGACUGUGGCUCAAGCACUCACUCUCUCUUGCUUGCUUGCUCAUCCUGAUGGAAGCCAGCUGCCAUGUUGUGUGUUGCCUUAGGAGAGGCCCAUGUAGAAGGAUCUGAGGGACGCUUCCAGACAACAGCCAGCAAGGAACUGAAGCCCUCCGCCCAACAGCCUGUGAGGAACUGGAUACAGCUAACAACCACAUGAAUGACUUGGAAGUGGAUCAUGGAGCCUUUGAAUGAGACCACAACUCCAGCUGACAAUUUUUUUUAAAUUAAAUUUUAUUGGAAUAUA
Molecule: RNA transcript, 2401 nt
Organism: Orcinus orca (killer whale)
Lineage: Eukaryota; Metazoa; Chordata; Mammalia; Artiodactyla; Delphinidae
Exons: 3
Source: RefSeq, a predicted model, not a curated record